AACAAAUACAGCUCUUUUGAAAUUAUUCUAGCAGAUUUUCUGACUCUGGUCUGAACACCCGA
RNAcentral lists this small nuclear RNA (62 nucleotides) under Mus caroli (Ryukyu mouse). RNAcentral's name for it is "predicted gene, 23016 (MGP_CAROLIEiJ_G0035102.1)". The record is from RNAcentral. Lineage: Eukaryota; Metazoa; Chordata; Mammalia; Rodentia; Muridae.